UUAGCUGAAACCAAAAAGAGGUAUAUUAUUGUUAAUAAUAAAAAUGAACUGAUAGUUCCAGCUAAG
Molecule: transfer RNA, 66 nt
Filed under: Microtermes sp. B TB-2017
Lineage: Eukaryota; Metazoa; Arthropoda; Insecta; Blattodea; Termitidae
Description: tRNA-Asn
Source: RNAcentral